CUGUUUAUCAAAAACAUGGCCUUAUACUUUUAUAAGGUCUAACCUGCCCACUGAUUAUUUGAAGGGCCGUGGUAUACUGACCAUGCGAAGGUAGCAUAAUCAUUUGCCUCUUAAUUAGAGGCUAGAAUGAAGGGUUGGACGAGGGAUCUCCUGUCUCUGGUAUUAAGUUGAAAUUAAUUAUUAGGUGAAAAAGCCUAAAUUUUCUUGGAGGACGAUAAGACCCUAUGGAUCUUUAUAAAUAUAUUUUUAAAGAAUUUGGUUGUUAAAAUCUUAGAGAAAUUUUAUUACGUUGGGGCGACGCUGAGAGUAGGACUAUCUCUCAGAUUUUAUUAACACAUUUAAGUGAUUUAAGAUCCUUUAGUGAAAUUAGAUUAAGUUACCCUAGGGAUAACAGCGUUAUAUCUUUUGAGAGUUCAUAUCGACAAAGAUGAUUACGACCUCGAUGUUGGUUCAGGGAACCUUUAAGGUGCAUCAGUUUUAUAAGGAGGUCUGUUCGACCUUUAAACCCCUACAUGAUCUGAGUUCAAACCGGAAGGUUCGUUUGUUCAACGAUUAAAGUCCUACAUGAUCUGAGUUCAAACCGG
RNAcentral lists this ribosomal RNA (584 nucleotides) under Chirocephalus sp. ARW-2014. RNAcentral describes it as "partial 16S ribosomal RNA". It matches the Rfam family "Archaeal large subunit ribosomal RNA", at positions 1892 to 2745 of the family's 2987-position model. The record is from RNAcentral. Lineage: Eukaryota; Metazoa; Arthropoda; Branchiopoda; Anostraca; Chirocephalidae.